RNAcentral lists this non-coding RNA (143 nucleotides) under unclassified sequences. Its description in RNAcentral is "lysM-TM7 RNA". It matches the Rfam family "lysM-TM7 RNA". The record is from RNAcentral.
GCCUACCGACAAAUGUCGAGACGAAUACAGCAAACUAUCGAAGCUAAUAUUAUUAAUGAAAUAGGUCGACAUGUAUUCUGUUCUCCUUGUGAGAAGAAAGACAAAGUAAGGUAGCCGUCUACAUAGCAAUAUAUAGACAGGAG